GGAGUCUGGGCCGUAUCUCAGUCCCAAUGUGGCCGUUCAACCUCUCAGUCCGGCUACUGAUCGUCGCCUUGGUGGGCCGUUACCUCACCAACCAGCUAAUCAGACGCGAGGCCAUCUCAGAGCGAUAAAUCUUUGGCACAAAAGGGAUGUCCCCUCCGUGCAUCAUGCGGUAUUAGCAGCCGUUUCCAGCUGUUGUCCCCCUCUCCAAGGCAGGUUCCUCACGCGUUACUCACCCGUCCGCCACUUUCCUCCGGUUCCGUUGUCCGAAAACUCCUUCCCCGGAUUCUCGUUCGACUUGCAUGUGUUAAGCACGCCGCCAGCGUUCGUCCUCGAGCCAGGAUCAAACUACU
RNAcentral lists this ribosomal RNA (350 nucleotides) under uncultured Oscillospira sp. Its description in RNAcentral is "partial 16S ribosomal RNA". The record is from RNAcentral. Lineage: Bacteria; Bacillati; Bacillota; Clostridia; Eubacteriales; Oscillospiraceae.